Molecule: ribosomal RNA, 468 nt
Filed under: uncultured bacterium
Lineage: Bacteria
Description: partial 16S ribosomal RNA
Rfam family: Bacterial small subunit ribosomal RNA
Source: RNAcentral
GACGAACGCUGGCGGCGUGCUUAACACAUGCAAGUCGAACGGAAAGGCCCUGCUUAUGUGGGGUGCUCGAGUGGCGAACGGGUGAGUAACACGUGAGUAACCUGCCCUUGACUUUGGGAUAACUUCAGGAAACUGGGGCUAAUACCGGAUAGGAGCUCCCGCUGCAUGGUGGGGGUUGGAUAGUUUCGGCGGUUGGGGAUGGACUCGCGGGUUAUCAGCUUGUUUGGUGGGUAGUGGCUGACCAAGGCUUUGACGGGUAGCCGGCCUGAGAGGGUAACCGGCCACAUUGGGCCUGAGAUACGGCCCAGACUCCUAUGGGAGGCAGCGGUGGGGAAUAUUGUACAGUGGGCGGAAGCCUGAUGCGGCAACGCCGCGUGGGGGAUGACGGCCUUCGGGUUGUGAACCGCAUCCGCCUGUGACGAAGCGUGAGUGACGGUAAUGGGAAAAGAAGCACCGGCUAACUACGUG